ACACAACAAAGCCAUUGCGAAACACUGAACAGAAUUUCUACUACGCCAUAGCUCGUAAUGUUUACAUACAAAGGUGAACGUUGUAUGGUGACGCAUCGCGUGACUGCAGCGAAGCAAGAUCCACGCGUCAGUUUCACACUAGAAAACGAUGUAAACACUGAAUUCAAAGCGAUGUCGCAUGGAUCGUAGCCAACGUGCCAAUGGCUCCCUACUACUAGGACGACUAGAUUUUCUGUUCCGAAGCGAUCGAGAAACAUCAACCGUGCCAGAAAUUUGUGCUGGCUCCUGUUUUUCUGGGGUGUGCUCUUGGUGCGUGCCAUGAGUGCUUGGCGAUUACGCUCCGACAUGUCGGUGGAUGAGUUUCACCCCUUUAUUGAGGCUGUGUUGCCUUAUGUCAAAUCGUUCUCCUACAUUUGGUUCAACCUGCAAGCGCGGAAGCGCAAGUACCUUAAGAAGCAUGAAAAACGUAUGUCUGCACUUGAGGAGCGCCAGGCCAAAGAGGAGCUGGCCAAUGACAAGCCAGAAGUCAAGCAGAAGUGGGCCUCGCGCCUCCUGGCCAAGCUGCGCAAGGACAUUCGGCCAGAGUACCGGGAGGACUUUGUGCUGAGUGUGACCGGCAAGAAGACGCCCAUGUGCGUGCUGAGCAACCCCGACCAGAAGGGCAAGAUCCGACGCAUCGACUGCUUACGCCAGGCCGACAAGGUCUGGCGGCUGGACCUGGUCAUGGUGGUGCUCUUCAAGGCUAUCCCAUUGGAGAGCACAGAUGGCGAGAGGCUGGUCAAGUCCAUAAACUGUGCCAACCCUGUGCUGUGCGUACAGCCACACCACAUAAGUGUCAGCAUCCGAGAGUUGGAUCUGUUUCUUGCAACCUUCAUCGUGCAAUCUCCAGAGCGGGCACUAAGUGAUUCUGGGGACAGCAUGUCUGUCAAAAGUGGCAGUGAACCAGAUUGGCAGAAUCCAUUAACUAUUGUUACUACCCAAGAAGAACCAAAUAGCUUUGCCACCAGCGGUGUUUUCUCUUCAAAUGAAUUGAGAAGACUCACCCAAGGUUCAAUCUGUGAUGGGGCCUCGUGCACCUUGCCUCUAAGUGACCUGGAGAGUCCUACAUACUACCAGUAUGCCACCGAUGUCACUCAGCCACUGGCCACCCGUCGCCACAUCCAGCCCAACCAUCCCAUCACCAAGCGGAUUAAGCGCAACUCCAGCACCAUGUCCUCAGCUGACGACGAUGUGGACAGCGUGGGGGAAGACACUGAGAAUCUGAACUUCUAUGGCCGGUCCCCUGCCUCACUCAGCAGCCAAUCUGGUAGCUGGCACAGUGACAUUGACCCUGGCACUAGCCCCGUGGUCCCGUCCAGCCUAUCACAUGUCAGUCACAAGCCCAAGAUCUCAGAGGGGGCCAGCAACUUUGCAUCCCAGUCCUCCCCAGCAACUAGGAGGGUCCUGAAAGUUGAACCAAAGAUUGAAGAAGAUGGUGGCCUGUCUUCCUGUUCCCUGCAUCAAGGACUGGCCCAGGUUACUCAGGCAACCGAAUACAAGGGUCAAAUCCAAGGAACGAUGGCGUCUUUCACUGGUCCCACAUUAGCGCAGGCUUCCCAUUAUUCUAACCAGCUGAGGUUACACUCCCAGCACCCAGACACCGCCCCACUCUCAGACUUUGUUCAGCUGGUAUGCCACCAAGACAACUACCAACAACAGGUCAAAAAUGGUGCAGUCAGCAACACCAGCAGUCCCACCAAGAUAGCUGGGUUCAUCCCCACAGCCAUGCUUCCACCACCCCCUCCCCCUCCAAUGGCACGACCAGUUGCCAUAGCAACCUCCAUUGGCCAAACUGGUGCCCUUUCCAGUGUGACCAGUCAAACGAGCAUCCCAAAUUCAACAAGUGCCCAAGGUGCUCUCCUACCCCAGUAUCAGCCCCAUCAACAUCAGUCCCACAACGAUUGGAUUUCUUACCUCCCCGGUUGCAACGCCCAGAUCUACGCCGCGAUCGACGCCCAUCCCACGUUGGACGACACCCCUGAUUUCACUCGAUGAGAAUGCAGACUACACCAUGCUCUCUGGUUUAAUAGCAGCUGCAACCAGUGAGGAAGCGUUCCUCAGCUGCGGUGAGAGAUUUUUGCCUGUCAACCUUACAGCCGAACCAAUGGAG
This 2149-nucleotide unclassified non-coding RNA is filed under the name Acanthaster planci (crown-of-thorns starfish). Its description in RNAcentral is "nuclear factor 1 X-type-like, transcript variant X1". Lineage: Eukaryota; Metazoa; Echinodermata; Asteroidea; Valvatida; Acanthasteridae. The record is from RNAcentral.